RNAcentral lists this ribosomal RNA (545 nucleotides) under uncultured Bacillus sp. RNAcentral describes it as "bacterial SSU rRNA". It matches the Rfam family "Bacterial small subunit ribosomal RNA", at positions 63 to 589 of the family's 1533-position model. Lineage: Bacteria; Bacillati; Bacillota; Bacilli; Caryophanales; Bacillaceae. The record is from RNAcentral.
CGAGCGAACUGAUUAGAAGCUUGCUUCUAUGAUGUUAGCGGCGGACGGGUGAGUAACACGUGGGCAACCUGCCUGUAAGACUGGGAUAACUUCGGGAAACCGAAGCUAAUACCGGAUAGGAUCUUCUCCUUCAUGGGAGAUGAUUGAAAGAUGGUUUCGGCUAUCACUUACAGAUGGGCCCGCGGUGCAUUAGCUAGUUGGUGAGGUAACGGCUUACCAAGGCAACGAUGCAUAGCCGACCUGAGAGGGUGAUCGGCCACACUGGGACUGAGACACGGCCCAGACUCCUACGGGAGGCAGCAGUAGGGAAUCUUCCGCAAUGGACGAAAGUCUGACGGAGCAACGCCGCGUGAGUGAUGAAGGCUUUCGGGUCGUAAAACUCUGUUGUUAGGGAAGAACAAGUAUGAGAGUAACUGCUCGUACCUUGACGGUACCUAACCAGAAAGCCACGGCUAACUACGUGCCAGCAGCCGCGGUAAUACGUAGGUGGCAAGCGUUAUCCGGAAUUAUUGGGCGUAAAGCGCGCGCAGGCGGUUUCUUAAGUC